Anoplophora glabripennis (Asian longhorned beetle) is the source of this 482-nucleotide long non-coding RNA. RefSeq lists it as uncharacterized. The record is from RefSeq and is a predicted model, not a curated record. The transcript is spliced from 3 exons. Lineage: Eukaryota; Metazoa; Arthropoda; Insecta; Coleoptera; Cerambycidae.
CAAUUAUAAAUGUAAAAUUAGACCAAAUAUCAGAAGAUGUUAAUUUUUUAUUAAGCAAAAGCAAUAAUGAAAAUAACACUGAGGGAAGGGAAGUUACUGUUAUGAGUAAAUUUAAAUUACCAAUAAAUUCCACAGAGGAUUUACAUGAAAUGGAGGAAUUUUUAUCAGUGGAAGAUAAUGCCCGUCAAUUUGUUUAUGAAUUGUCAAAAAUUGGAGGAUGCAAUGUAAAGACUAUGACGAAAUGGGUAAUGGUAAAAUUGUUAACAAAUUCAAUGGCUAUGAAAUACAGCUGGAUUGGAUUUAAGUAAAAAAAUUAUUUUUCAAUUCUGAAAAUUUCAUCAGCGAUAAUGGAUGCUGUUUAGAAAAUUCAUACAAAAACUACUUGUGCAGAAGUAGAACAAGCCAUAAAAAUGUGGUUAGUAAAAGCCAAGGAGAGGGAGAGGAAAGAAAACAACCAAUGAAGGAAUAAUGUUACUGUCUAA